Molecule: non-coding RNA, 374 nt
Organism: Chiloscyllium plagiosum (whitespotted bambooshark)
Lineage: Eukaryota; Metazoa; Chordata; Chondrichthyes; Orectolobiformes; Hemiscylliidae
Source: RefSeq, a predicted model, not a curated record
UUCACUUCCUAUAGGGACUGAAAACCAAGUGAGGAGAUGUACCUGGGAAGAUGGGAUGUGGAUGGAAAGAAAGUAACUUGGUUGUCUGAUCCUGGUCCCUGCUGGAAACAGAGGGUGUGUGACAGUCAGUGAGAGAAAGAAAGAAGGAUUGCACCACACUACACCAGAGAAUACAGAGAGGAUAGUCACUGCAGAUAGAUCCUGACCAUCACGCAAGGAACAACUGCACAACUGUGGUAAGACAUCCAGUCCCUUCUCAGCAUUGUUCAACACAGAGAAGGUUAAAACCAUUGUCUGGAAAUUGGUCAGGUCAGGGGAGCUUUGAGAUAUCAUCAGAUGUGAAACUGGUCAGUGGUGUGGAGCCUUCCAUCAGA